GUUUUGCUAGGGGUAAUCCAAACAUUUCUUUUCAUCAAAAUAGAAUUAGAGGUGCAAAAUGUUAUACGAUACCGAUGAUGUUUAAAAGUUCAAACAUAAAAGAAACACAGUCUCAAUGUAAGGAAGAGUUGCAAGCACAACGUUCGACGAACGAACGAUAGAAGGAACAAACAAACUGACUUUAAAACACAACGCCCACUGGACACAAUCUCUUCAGUAAGCAGAGUAUUAUACGAAAGUUGAAAAGGGUGCAUAUAUUUUAUUAGUGGCCGCUGUUGAUAAACUAUCUAUUAAUAGCACACAUGUUAUUUUUACAAUAUUGCAUGAUAGAUGUUGCUUUUGUAUUUACAAAUAUUAGAUUUGUGGAUUAAUAAUACUGACACAUGACAUAAUUUGUAGAACUGUUAAUAGUCUCACGGUAAAUAAAGGCAACAGUAGUAUACCCGC
RNAcentral lists this long non-coding RNA (447 nucleotides) under Mytilus galloprovincialis (Mediterranean mussel). Lineage: Eukaryota; Metazoa; Mollusca; Bivalvia; Mytilida; Mytilidae. The record is from RNAcentral.